Molecule: transfer RNA, 64 nt
Filed under: Pyrgacris descampsi
Lineage: Eukaryota; Metazoa; Arthropoda; Insecta; Orthoptera; Pyrgacrididae
Description: tRNA-Ile
Source: RNAcentral
AAUGAAGUGCCUGAUUAAAGGACUAUCUUGAUAGGAUAGAUCAAGUAAAGAUUUACCUUCAUUA